CCUCCUCCUCCUCCCGCCCAGCCCCUCCAGCCUUCUGUCUCUUCUCCUCCCAAGGAAACAAGGUCAUGCAGCUCCUCCGUGAAGUCGCUGCUUGGAAGGAGCAGAACCGACGGCUCCUCGUCUUCUGCAGGGUCGGUCGUGUGAUUGAAACCUUUUCAAAAUAUGAGCCGUUCUCUGCUCCCUCCCACACGGAGUCAGCGGCAUGCGGGUCUUCAAUGCCGAGCCAGUGGGGAGGAUCUGAUUGGUCGGGGUCCGUGUACGUAAUGUUAUUUCGUUUUUUCGUUUCAUUCCAAAUACGGAAUACGGAAAUCACGUGGUUUUUUCGUUUUCCGUUUGAAAACCAAAAACGGAAAAACGGAAUACCACCUCCGUAUCUCGUUUCUGCUGUCUGAAACCAAAAACGACAGAACGGAAGUGCUUAAAAUGAAGUCAAAAUAAAAGCCAGUGAUACAUAUUCGUAUUAUGAAUCAAUAUAAAGAAUAAAUAAUUAAACGGGGAUAUUUUAACGAUGCAAACACAUAGCAGGGCAACGUUAGAAGACUAUUAAUUAGUCAAUAUAAAGAAUAAAGAAUUAAACCUGGAUAUGUUAGCGACAGUGGUGACGACGGGAAGUUUAAUAUUCAUGUAGCCUACACAGCAAGAAUCACCUUCUCACUUAAUCGUUGCAUUGUUUGAUGCAACACAUGGAAGAGUGAGGAUAUGAUGACCACGAGGCAAUACAUAUUGACAAUUGAAAAAUAAAGAGACAGUUGAGUUUUUCUUAUUAAGCAGCGUUCAGUUAGCACCCAGUCACAGCACCACCUGUGCUUCACCUGUAACCUUCAUUACUCCAUCAUUACAUCAACGGUUAAUGGGGACAAGUUUUUUGUUUUGUUUUUCGUUUUAUGUUUAUAUGCAUUUGUGUGUAUGUAUAGUGUGUGUGUUUAUAUGUAUAUAUGUGUGUGUAUAUGUAUGUAUAUGUAUACGUAUGUAUGUGUGUAUAUAUAUAUGAUUCUUUGAAAUAAGUUUUUUCGAGAAAUCAUAGGUUAGGGCACUUAUAAGCUCGUUAGCUUCAGCCUCGACCCUUUCGGUCAGCCACUUUCUUCUUUUGUUGAAUUAUGAUUGUUGUAUAUUUUGCUGAUCGAAAUAAACUAAAUCAUCAUAAACAUGUAA
Long non-coding RNA from Pseudoliparis swirei, 1152 nucleotides. RefSeq lists it as uncharacterized. NCBI's taxonomy places the organism in Eukaryota, Metazoa, Chordata, Actinopteri, Perciformes, Liparidae. The record is from RefSeq and is a predicted model, not a curated record. The transcript has 2 exons.